AACGAACGCUGGCGGCAUGCCUAACACAUGCAAGUCGAACGAAGGCUUCGGCCUUAGUGGCGCACGGGUGCGUAACGCGUGGGAAUCUGCCCUUGGCUUCGGAAUAACAGUUAGAAAUGACUGCUAAUACCGGAUGAUUUCGCAAGACCAAAGAUUUAUCGGCCAGGGAUGAGCCCGCGUAGGAUUAGGUAGUUGGUGGGGUAAAGGCCUACCAAGCCGACGAUCCUUAGCUGGUCUGAGAGGAUGAUCAGCCACACUGGGGCUGAGACACGGCCCAGACUCCUACGGGAGGCAGCAGUGGGGAAUAUUGGACAAUGGGGGCAACCCUGAUCCAGCAAUGCCGCGUGAGUGAUGAAGGCCUUAGGGUUGUAAAGCUCUUUUACCCGGGAUGAUAAUGACAGUACCGGGAGAAUAAGCUCCGGCUAACUCCGUGCCAGCCGCCGCCGUAA
Molecule: ribosomal RNA, 449 nt
Filed under: uncultured bacterium
Lineage: Bacteria
Description: partial 16S ribosomal RNA
Rfam family: Bacterial small subunit ribosomal RNA
Source: RNAcentral